CAAAAACAUCGCCUCCUGCAAAUAUCAAUGUAUAAGAGGUCCUACCUGCCCAGUGACAACAAGUUAAACGGCCGCGGUAUUUUGACCGUGCUAAGGUAGCGCAAUCACUUGUCUUUUAAAUGAAGACCUGUAUGAAUGGUGGAACGAGGGCUUAACUGUCUCCUUUUUCAGGUCAGUGAAAUUGAUCUGCCCGUGCAGAAGCGGACAUAAAAAUACAAGACGAGAAGACCCUCUGGAGCUUAAGACAAAAGAUCAACUAUGUUAAAAACCCUUAUAAACAGGAACCAAACAAAAUAAAAACUGACCUUAGUCUUCGGUUGGGGCGACCGCGGGGGAAAAUAAAGCCCCCAUGUGGAAUAGGAUAACCCUUCAACCACGAGGGACACCUCUAAGUCACAGAAUAUCUGACCAAAAGAUCCGGCUUUUUAGCCGAUCAACGGACCAAGUUACCCUAGGGAUAACAGCGCAAUCCCCUCCAAGAGUCCAUAUCGACAAGGGGGUUUACGACCUCGAUGUUGGAUCAGGACAUCCUAAUGGUGCAGCCGCUAUUAAGGGUUCGUUUGUUCAACGAUUAAAGUCCUACGUGAUCUGAU
This 593-nucleotide ribosomal RNA is filed under the name Aphyocharacidium bolivianum. Its description in RNAcentral is "partial 16S large subunit ribosomal RNA". It matches the Rfam family "Bacterial large subunit ribosomal RNA", at positions 1808 to 2609 of the family's 2925-position model. Lineage: Eukaryota; Metazoa; Chordata; Actinopteri; Characiformes; Characidae. The record is from RNAcentral.